GUCCGAAGUAAAUUGCUAUUUUUUGUGCAUUUGAGCUAACCCCUAACCUUUUUCUCAACUUUGACCGAAUGCUUCUAAUUCUACUGGUUCUCCUAACCACCUACAUCCUGCUAUGUAGAGGCAGUGAAGGAUGGAGGGUGGAGACAGGAUGUCCAGGGUAGAGGUCAGAGGUAGGACGGUGGAUGUGGUUGGAGCUGGAGGCUGAAGGGUGGGUGUUGGAGGUGGUUGGAGCUGGAGGCUGAAGGGUGGGCGUUGGAUGUGGUUGGAGCUGGAGGCUGAAGGGUGGGCGUUGGAGGUGGUUGGAGCUGGAGGCUGAAGGGUGGGCGUUGGAGGUGGCUGAAGCUGGAGGGUGGAGAUAGGAUGUCCAGGGUAGAGGUAGGACGGUGGAUGUGGUUGGAGCUGGUGGCUGAAGGGUGGGCGUUGGAGGUGGUUGUAGCUGGAGGCUGAAGGGUGGGCGUUGGAGGUGGCUGAAGCUGGAGGGUGGAGAUAGGAUGUCCAGGGUAGAGGUAGGACGGUGGAUGUGGUUGGAGCUGGUGGCUGAAGGGUGGGCGUUGGAGGUGGCUGAAGCUGGAGGGUGGAGAUUGGAUUCAGCGGAUGUGGUGAAAUCCUACCCGCCCAGCACCGUAGGCCCUUCUGAAGGCCCAAAAGGAGAGGACAGGGUAAAGCAAAGUCUCACUGUCGAUCUCCGCUGGUCUCUGGAUAAUACCGCAGCUCUCCCUGCACUGAGAGAUCUGUGUCUGGCCAAGUCUUCACCUCAUUGUGUGUCUUUGUGUGUGUGUGUGUCCCCUCCAGCUC
Long non-coding RNA from Esox lucius (northern pike), 795 nucleotides. Lineage: Eukaryota; Metazoa; Chordata; Actinopteri; Esociformes; Esocidae. The record is from Ensembl.